RNAcentral lists this transfer RNA (72 nucleotides) under Camelus bactrianus (Bactrian camel). It matches the Rfam family "tRNA". Rfam says of the family: Transfer RNA (tRNA) molecules are approximately 80 nucleotides in length. Their secondary structure includes four short double-helical elements and three loops (D, anti-codon, and T loops). Further hydrogen bonds mediate the characteristic L-shaped molecular structure. tRNAs have two regions of fundamental functional importance: the anti-codon, which is responsible for specific mRNA codon recognition, and the 3' end, to which the tRNAs corresponding amino acid is attached (by aminoacyl-tRNA synthetases). tRNAs cope with the degeneracy of the genetic code in two manners: having more than one tRNA (with a specific anti-codon) for a particular amino acid; and 'wobble' base-pairing, i.e. permitting non-standard base-pairing at the 3rd anti-codon position. The record is from Rfam by way of RNAcentral. RNAcentral also lists the same sequence under 2 other names. Lineage: Eukaryota; Metazoa; Chordata; Mammalia; Artiodactyla; Camelidae.
GAGGGUAGAGCUCAGUGGUAGAGCACAUGCCUAGCAUGUACAAGGUCCUGGGUUCAAUCCCUAGUACCUCUG